RNAcentral lists this unclassified non-coding RNA (601 nucleotides) under Phenoliferia glacialis. RNAcentral's name for it is "sequence contains 18S rRNA gene, ITS1, 5.8S rRNA gene, ITS2, 28S rRNA gene". The stretch from base 193 to 346 matches the Rfam family "5.8S ribosomal RNA". The record is from RNAcentral. Lineage: Eukaryota; Fungi; Basidiomycota; Microbotryomycetes; Kriegeriales; Kriegeriaceae.
GUAACAAGGUUUCCGUAGGUGAACCUGCGGAAGGAUCAUUAGUGAAUUAUAGGGCGUCUACUUGUAGAGCCUGACCUCCACUUCUAACACUGUGCACUUGAUGGCGAGGUAAUGGAACUUUCGAGUGAAACUACCUUGCGGCUUCAUUUUAAACAUUAGUCAAAGUAUGUAAUGAAAUAAAAAACAAAAAAAAACUUUCAACAACGGAUCUCUUGGCUCUCGCAUCGAUGAAGAACGCAGCGAAAUGUGAUAAGUAAUGUGAAUUGCAGAAUUCAGUGAAUCAUCGAAUCUUUGAACGCACCUUGCGCUCCCUGGUAUUCCGGGGAGCAUGCCUGUUUGAGUGUCAUGAACUCUUCAACCCACCAGUUUCUAGUAGACUGCGUUGGUGUUUGGAUUUUGAGCGUUGCUAGUCUGACUAGCUCGUUCGUAAUAUAUUAGCAUCUCUAAUUCGAAUUCGGAUUGACUCAGUGUAAUAGACUAUUCGCUGAGGACACUUUUAUUAGUGGCCGUACUAGAACCAGUAGAAGCUUCCAACUAUUGUAGUCAACUUUAAUUUAGACCUCAGAUCAGGCAGGAUUACCCGCUGAACUUAAGCAUAUCA